GGACUCUAUUCGUCGCACAGCUCUAAUUUCCCCUCUCCUGCUCCUGCUUCUGCUCCUGCUCUUCAUUUUCUCUCCCUCAUCAGAAUAGCCACAGAGCUUGUUUCAGCUCCGUCUCAGGUCCAGAAUGAUGCAGGAACCCUCGCAUAUUUGACACCGUACCCGGGCGCCGACACGGCGCGUCGCUUCGGGGCGACGACCUAGCCCACCCUCGCCCACUUUUCGCUAGACCCGGGUGGUUCAAGUGCAACGCGUCGCUCGUAGGGGACGCACCAGCAAAUAUUCGCGAAGAAAGGAAUCUAUGGAAGCUGAAAUUCCUAUUGAAAGUAAUGAAAGCCCGGCUGGUAUAAAGGAGAAUGGCUUUCUUCUUAGGCUAGUUUCACGUUAUGCUUCUGGUGAAGGCUUAACAUAUGCUCUCAUUGAUUGGCCUAAUCCUGGCAAUACCUGGAGCUGGAAGGUGGGAGGGAGAAUCUCGAAUUCUGGCUACUAUUGUGACAGAUAUAUGUUUCUUCCAAAAUGUCUUCAGAGGCCUGGACGUAGAAGGGAGUGUUUUGCAAGCCAGCCUCGCUUGAGCGGUAUAUCCGAGCAAAAUUUCCUGGUGCUGACGUGGAUCCACUCAAGAAAGUCCUAUUCGGCUAAAGUCCUAUGACCUGAUGUGUAGAACAAAGGCCGCGUGGUAACAAUGUUAGUGCUGGGGCCAAGAAAGGAGAGAAGAAUAAUGAAUCUACAUGAUUCAAUAGUGUGUCUGCGUGUAUGGAGAUGCUGUGCCGCUGUCACUAUAUCAUCAAGCGAAAAGUAUUUAAGGGUUUUAUUUUGGGGCUAUAAUGUGUGUAUAUAGUUUUAUAUGAAAACUCGAAAAUAGUGUCAUAUGAUAAUAUAAUUAAACUACACCUUGACUUAAAUCUAUCGUAUCUUAUCGUGGGGGCAUCCUUCCAAUGCACUUUCGUUGGACUUGAUUUAAGUGUGUUAUAACACCUUAGAUGCUCUUGUAUUCUAUCCCUUCCUUAUAGUGAAAUUUUCUUGUCAUCUUUGCCCAUGGAUAUAGGCUAUAAUUUUAACAACACAAAUCUUAUGUCUAGUUUCUUGUAUUUUUCUUUUAUCAUUCACUUAAUUUCUCAAGUCCAAAACCUGCCAAAUAUAAAGAUAUAGCAUCACUAAGUAGCCAAAAUAAAUCAAUCCAAGGCAUUAAACCAUAAAAGGGUAGCUCGAUGCAUAAAGCUCUCGUGUAUGCAAUGUUAGGGGAAGGAGCGGACCACAAUGAAAAUGGUUCAACGAAAUUACUCAAAGGAUAAACCCAAUCGAGGGGCAUAAGCUAGAAUAUCUUACUCAUGCUUGCCCGAAUUUGCAUUUUUCAUGUCCUAUUCCUGCCUUUUGGAGUUAGCUAGUUGAAUUUCAUGGAUCAGUUUUGGAAGAACCAUGACUACUAUUCUCUAUGUUGAGGUUAACAAAGCCGCAAUCAUCUUUUUUAUUUCCAUGUCAUGAGCAAGCUCAGCACGUUCGAUUUGAAGGCGGGCGAUUACAGAGUCAAUUUCCUCUAUGACUGAUGACUUUGAGUCUAAUUCAGUUUGGACGAGAGCUGCUUUUUCCUUGGACUCAUUAUACUUAUUUCUUAGAGAAGUAGCCUUGGCCUUGCUAGCUUCAAGGUCUUCAAAGAAUUCGUUUGCUUCGUCUAUAAUUUUCUUAGCCUCUAGGAAAUCCUUACUAGUCAAUGAGAUCUCUUCAAUCAGCUUUGACUUAGAAAGUUGAUUAGCAUCAAGGUUGGGAUCCUUGUGAAACCUUGAAGACAAAGUUGAAAGCUCAACGUGAUUUUGACAGGAUAUUAGAGAAGGAUAGUCCUUGACAAGGAUAGAAGAAAGCUUCCUUCGGGCUUUGGUCAAUUCCUCUGGGGAAGGAG
Long non-coding RNA from Malania oleifera, 1891 nucleotides. RefSeq lists it as uncharacterized. NCBI's taxonomy places the organism in Eukaryota, Viridiplantae, Streptophyta, Magnoliopsida, Santalales, Ximeniaceae. The transcript is spliced from 4 exons. The record is from RefSeq and is a predicted model, not a curated record.